This 169-nucleotide small RNA is filed under the name Chrysemys picta bellii (western painted turtle). RNAcentral's name for it is "TUC338 (ENSCPBG00000024986.1)". The record is from RNAcentral. Lineage: Eukaryota; Metazoa; Chordata; Testudines; Emydidae.
UUAAGAAUCCUGGAGACUGACGUCUGCCAUUCAUCCACAGAAAAGGCAGUGGCAAUGCAAGCUUCUCCACAUUGCCCUGCCAAUGUACGUCAGCACUGUUCUGAAGGGACCACUUGUAGGGGGGAGAGAGAAGUUCAAGUCUCCGUGCCUGAAUCAAGCUAUUGCAUGG